Molecule: long non-coding RNA, 453 nt
Filed under: Mytilus galloprovincialis (Mediterranean mussel)
Lineage: Eukaryota; Metazoa; Mollusca; Bivalvia; Mytilida; Mytilidae
Source: RNAcentral
UGUUCUCCAAUAUAAGGCUUUUACAGGGGCACUAGCUGUCAAAUUCAUGUUCACUGAUUUGACUCAAAUUCUCAUAUUGGAUUUAUAACAAUGUACAACAUUUAUCCUAAUUAUAAAAGUCUAAAACAAACAUUUUACAGGACAUGGGCUCAAUAAAAUUUAGCUUCUUUUUGUUUCAUGUGUAUUUUAGUCUAGACGCCAUCUAAUCUAACUAUCGAGUUGACCCCCACCUACCUCCAAUGGUCAUAUAAGCAAUAUAAACAUAAAUAUAGACAUAAAUAGAAUGCCAACUCGUGCAAUUGGAUUUUUCUAAGUCUAUAUUUUUUAAUAUUAUAGAUUAAAAAUAUAUGUUCAUCAUCAUUUUUACCUGUAUAAUAAGGAUUUUUCUGUGAACCAAAUGAGUCAAUCUAAUGAGUUACCUUUGUUUCACUUUCAAUGUUGACAUUCUUUUCC